AGAACGAACGCUGGCGGCAUGCCUAACACAUGCAAGUCGAACGAGACCUUCGGGUCUAGUGGCGCACGGGUGCGUAACGCGUGGGAAUCUGCCCUUGGGUUCGGGAUAACAGUUGGAAACGACUGCUAAUACCGGAUGAUGACUUCGGUCCAAAGAUUUAUCGCCCAGGGAUGAGCCCGCGUAAGAUUAGCUAGUUGGUGGGGUAAAGGCCUACCAAGGCAACGAUCUUUAGCUGGUCUGAGAGGAUGAUCAGCCACACUGGGACUGAGACACGGCCCAGACUCCUACGGGAGGCAGCAGUGGGGAAUAUUGGACAAUGGGCGAAAGCCUGAUCCAGCAAUGCCGCGUGAGUGAUGAAGGCCUUAGGGUUGUAAAGUCCUUUUAACGGGAAGAUAAUGACGGUACCCGUAGAAUAAGCCCGGCUAACUUCGUGCCAGCAGCCGC
This 444-nucleotide ribosomal RNA is filed under the name uncultured bacterium. RNAcentral describes it as "SSU rRNA". It matches the Rfam family "Bacterial small subunit ribosomal RNA", at positions 26 to 518 of the family's 1533-position model. The record is from RNAcentral.